RNAcentral lists this ribosomal RNA (704 nucleotides) under uncultured Bordetella sp. RNAcentral's name for it is "bacterial SSU rRNA". It matches the Rfam family "Bacterial small subunit ribosomal RNA", at positions 804 to 1516 of the family's 1533-position model. The record is from RNAcentral. Lineage: Bacteria; Pseudomonadati; Pseudomonadota; Betaproteobacteria; Burkholderiales; Alcaligenaceae.
AAACGAUGUCAACUAGCUGUUGGGCCUUCGGGCCUUGGUAGCGCAGCUAACGCGUGAAGUUGACCGCCUGGGGAGUACGGUCGCAAGAUUAAAACUCAAAGGAAUUGACGGGGACCCGCACAAGCGGUGGAUGAUGUGGAUUAAUUCGAUGCAACGCGAAAAACCUUACCUACCCUUGACAUGUCUGGAAUGCCGAAGAGAUUUGGCAGUGUCGCAAGAAACCGGAACACAGGUGCUGCAUGGCUGUCGUCAGCUCGUGUCGUGAGAUGUUGGGUUAAGUCCCGCAACGAGCGCAACCCUUGUCAUUAGUUGCUACGAAAGGGCACUCUAAUGAGACUGCCGGUGACAAACCGGAGGAAGGUGGGGAUGACGUCAAGUCCUCAUGGCCCUUAUGGGUAGGGCUUCACACGUCAUACAAUGGUCGGGACAGAGGGUCGCCAACCCGCGAGGGGGAGCCAAUCCCAGAAACCCGAUCGUAGUCCGGAUCGCAGUCUGCAACUCGACUGCGUGAAGUCGGAAUCGCUAGUAAUCGCGGAUCAGCAUGUCGCGGUGAAUACGUUCCCGGGUCUUGUACACACCGCCCGUCACACCAUGGGAGUGGGUUUUACCAGAAGUAGUUAGCCUAACCGCAAGGGGGGCGAUUACCACGGUAGGAUUCAUGACUGGGGUGAAGUCGUAACAAGGUAACCAAGGGCGAAUUCCAG